RNAcentral lists this ribosomal RNA (506 nucleotides) under uncultured bacterium. RNAcentral describes it as "partial 16S ribosomal RNA". It matches the Rfam family "Bacterial small subunit ribosomal RNA", at positions 30 to 523 of the family's 1533-position model. The record is from RNAcentral.
AUUGAACGCUGGCGGCAUGCCUUACACAUGCAAGUCGAACGGCAGCACAGGAGAGCUUGCUCUCUGGGUGGCGAGUGGCGGACGGGUGAGGAAUACAUCGGAAUCUACUCUGUCGUGGGGGAUAACGUAGGGAAACUUACGCUAAUACCGCAUACGACCUACGGGUGAAAGCAGGGGACCUUCGGGCCUUGCGCGAUUGAAUGAGCCGAUGUCGGAUUAGCUAGUUGGCGGGGUAAAGGCCCACCAAGGCGACGAUCCGUAGCUGGUCUGAGAGGAUGAUCAGCCACACUGGAACUGAGACACGGUCCAGACUCCUACGGGAGGCAGCAGUGGGGAAUAUUGGACAAUGGGCGCAAGCCUGAUCCAGCCAUACCGCGUGGGUGAAGAAGGCCUUCGGGUUGUAAAGCCCUUUUGUUGGGAAAGAAAUCCAGCUGGCUAAUACCCGGUUGGGAUGACGGUACCCAAAGAAUAAGCACCGGCUAACUUCGUGCCAGCAGCCGCCGUAA